Molecule: long non-coding RNA, 612 nt
Organism: Triticum aestivum (bread wheat)
Lineage: Eukaryota; Viridiplantae; Streptophyta; Magnoliopsida; Poales; Poaceae
Exons: 2
Source: RefSeq, a predicted model, not a curated record
UCGCAUGACCAUCUCAUCCUUGCGUUCAUAUCAUUGCCAGGCGGCGGCGACACGAUUACGGCGACGAUGAGAGGGCGAUAUGCGGCUUCCUCCUGAUCCGGGACGUGCCUACGCACCGACGCGAUGAGCCGCCGUCGCCUACGCAAGCUACAGGCGCGUUAUUGAUCGGCCAGGAUGGAUUGAUUAGUGAAAUCACGGAACGUGUCAAGGUACAAAUAGAUCUUGCUCUAAUCUUAUACUCCAUAACUGUACUCCAAUUUCUCUUUAUGUGCGCAUCGAUUUCUAGUACGGUGCAGCUGGGCAGGACAGAGCCGCCGGCCGGCGGCCGCGCGCGGCCGAGCGGCUAUGGUGAAGCGAGUUCUAUGUACAAGAAGGCAGACUAUCUUUCCCUUAACGCUGCGGCUAUGCCUACACGUUGCAACAACCCUCCAAGGAAGAUCUGGCUGCGUAGGAUCGAUUAAUCAUGGAGGACGCGUGCAUAUACAAGAAGCUGGAUUUUUUGUGUGGAUAAGAAGCUAGAAUUAAACGAUGCUCUUUUGUGAUACACAUACACAAGUUAAAUCUUGUUAUUUUUUUGGAGUGGACAAAUACUACUGUUUGAAAUGAAUUGUA